GGCGGGUAAGAAAUUGAGUGU
RNAcentral lists this non-coding RNA (21 nucleotides) under Arabidopsis thaliana (thale cress). The record is from RNAcentral. Lineage: Eukaryota; Viridiplantae; Streptophyta; Magnoliopsida; Brassicales; Brassicaceae.